Molecule: long non-coding RNA, 4040 nt
Filed under: Malus domestica (apple)
Lineage: Eukaryota; Viridiplantae; Streptophyta; Magnoliopsida; Rosales; Rosaceae
Description: long non-coding RNA (MDOM_LNC001885)
Source: RNAcentral
UUCGUCCAUCCCUUGUGCUUCAUGUGCAUGAACUCCAUUCUAGCUCAAUUUUGCUCCAAAAUGCUCCAAAUUGCAUCCUUUUGCUCACUUUGUCUCUAAAACCUGAAAACACAUGAAAAUAGCUUAAAAGACUACUUUAACUAAGAAAACACAACAUAAAUGCAUAAGAACUAGCUAACUAAGGCGCAUAAAUAUGCUCCUAUCAUAAGGUCAGUUUCCAAUAGAUUAGCAAUCUCUCAUAACCCCCGGUUUAGAACGAUCCCUACUUAUCCAUAUUACAAUUGUCAACAAGAGGGUUUAAUUUGUGUGUUAAGUUAAUUUUCGUAUCACAAUUGAUCUGUGCCCUUCACAGGCCCCUAUUUUGGGCUUGCACAUGUAGACGACUUACCUUGUGAUGCAUAAGCCAGCAUGCAAGCUCGACCCGAGACCAAACCAACCCAAUAUUUGGGCCUGGGAGGCACGACACCUAUUUGAUUAGCCCAUACAUGGGCUUUGGUCCAUGUUUUUGGGCCUUAGUUUAUUUGCCUAAUUUUUUUUUGUCCCAAUGCGUUUUAUAAUUUUUCACCCAUAUUUUAAAUUUGGCCCGAAGUCCAAAUAAUUAAUUCAAUUAUAAUUACUGACCUGAAGUUCUAUUUGCAUAUUUCUGUAUAUAUAUUUACGUUUGUCUGCAGGAAUAUAUGAACCUGAAGUUUCUAAAAACAUGCCUUGUUUGAAAACCUGAAGUUUUCCUUAAAAACAUCACCCAUGAAAACCCGAAGCUUUUUCAUAUGUGAAUGGAUUGAUAUUUUUCUCCAUUGCACUAACCAUAUCUUGUCCAUCUAUUUUAUGAUAGGAACAUGUCAAAUUUGAACAAACUCAACUUCACCACUUUGGAAGUCUCUGGAAGGAACAACCUCAAGUGGGUCUAAAAUGUGUAGCUCAUCCUCACUGCAAAGAAUUUGCAACCCGCCAUUGCAGAUGAGACUGACAUGUUGGAGAUAUGCCCUGAAAGUCAAUCUUUGGAAGAAACCUUUCAGGACAAUGUCUAUAUGUAUGGAAAAACUCUAAUACAUCAAAAAGGCAAAGUCACUCAUUAGGACAAUCUCAAUAAUCGAUAUAGGUCCAAGAGGUGAAUCCAAGGACAAGAUCGAUGGAAGAAGUAAUCUAUUGAUGUUAGACUACAGAGACCUUCUUCUCAUAACCAUGAUGUCCAAAAGAGUUCCUAGUCAUAGGAUUGUCGGAGGGACACUGACAAUACAUAGACCAGUACAUACUAUGUCCCCUUCCAAUAGGAAGGAUGGAAAGUCUCAUGCCAUUCGUGUAGUGACACUGAGACAAGUAUGUAGGUGCUCAUUAUGGGAAUGAGUUCACUGAACACAAUCAAACGAGAGUACUUGCAUGGAGGUCUACUCAUAUGUCAAGCAAGUAACUCUACUGGUUGGAAUAAUGUAAGUAAUCCUUUGACCUGAGACAUCAUAGUUGUCUUGGGGAUACGUUGCUGAUCAUUUGAUAAUGAGACGUGACCACAUCUCAUCUUGGAUGUGUUCUAUGCAUUGUUAGGGUCAGUGAUUUAUUCUCAGAGGCAUGUGAAUGAUCAACAAGGGAUAUCUAAUCCUCGUUAUGAGAGGAUGAAUACUCUAAGAUAUGAUUCAGGAAUCUUCGGCCGAAGUAUCGAGCGUAAUGAUGGAAAGCGUUCCUAUACGACUCAAUAGAAUCAUAUAACUUGAUAUAAUCACAUUAGGGGUUUGACAUUAAAUAUCCAUACCCUAGUAAUAUGAUUGUGAGUAUUGUAUUAGAGAAGGAUCGAAUUACAUUGUAAUUCCAACUGAAUAGGUUCUUCGAACAAAUUCUACAUUAGGGUAGCCAUGAUAUAUGGUUAGAUGUCACUCAUGGCUUGUGGGUUCUUCUAGAUUAUUAAAUAAGUAGUCAUCAAAGAAGAAGGAGAAUUGAAAGUAAGUUUUAAUUCGCUAAGUGAUUGGAUUAAUACAAAUCAAUUGGAUUGGUGCCAAUCAGCUCACUGUCUUACUAAUUAGAACCUAAAAUGAUUGUACACUGAAACACUCUUGUAGUGAGACAACUAAAGGAUGAUGGAAUAAAUUAAUUGGAUUAAUUAAGCGUUAUGAUUAAUUAGAAAGUCUAAAGAAAUCAUAGAAGCGAUGAAAGAUCGUUUUGGACUUAAAGAAAAGUUCGGGUUCAUUUGGGCCCAUUAAGCCCAAACCCAUUGGGCUUUUAUUUAAGCAUAGGAUGACUUGAAAUGAUAAAAGCCCAAAGCCCAAACAACACAAAAGGGUCCGGCCAAGGAGAGAGAGAGAGAGUCAAGUUGUUGACUCACUUCUUAGACAUUUAUAAAGGAAGUUUAGUGAAAAGUUUCAUUAGGGUUUUUGAGUGUUCUUUUCCACAAAAGAAGAAAACAAGUCUCUCUCUCUCAACACUUAAAGGCCGGCCACCAUAAGGGAGAAAUAGCUAAUCAUCUUCUCUCCCUUUUUGGUUAUUCCAUUAUCCAUCUCACUACACUAGUGGGUGUGGAUCUUUUAGAGGUCUUCUACUUUGGAGACUAAAGGAGAAAGGAGCUCCAAAUCUUUCAAGGUGGAGGAAGCUAGGAGGGAGGCUAGACUCAAGGAGUUCUAAGAACAAAGAGCUUGGAGGUGGUCCAUCCUUGGUCUCAAGUCUAGAUCUAGAGGUAUAAAACUAUACCUUCACUUUGUUCUUCAAUAUUUUCUUAGAUGCAUCAUAUAUGAACCUAUGCUUCUUGAAGGGGAUUUGCAUGACUAUAGCUUUGAUAUUUUGUGAUAACAUGCUUCUGUUGCAAAUGUAUAUAAAUUUUGAAUUGUAUAUGCAUGCUAGUCACUAGAAAUCCCACAUAAAUCUCAUUAUUUCCCUUAAAGUGGUAUCAGAGCCAAAGGUUUAUAUUUGAUGCGUCCUUUUGGAUUUUAUGCAUAUGGGUUUUAAUUUUAUGUUUGACAUAUUAUUUCUUCAUUCAAAAUAUGUUUAUCUUUUGUUUUUCAAAUGUUGAAAAAAUGUGUUUCAAGAGUUGAAAAAGAUACGUAUGCAAAAAGUGUUUUGGAUGCAUGAAUGAAGAGUGAGUUUUGGAACAAAUUUUGGGGCUUUUGUACCAUAGGGGAGGGCACGGUUUUGGGGGAAUUUUUUGGCUUGUGUUUGUGUUUUCUUUUAAGUCACACACACACACACACACUUUGAAGCCAGAAAGUAGAGGCCUUGUCACUUUUGUUUUUUGGUUUGAAAAACCACCAAGAAAGUACAAAUCUUGAAAUUGUUUUCAUGGUUUUAUUCUUGGUGUUCAUGGUUUUGAUUUUGGUGUAAAAGGUUUUGGUUUUGUGUUCAUACUUUGUUGUUUGAAUUUGGGUGAUAAACUUGCCAUCAAUAGCUUUUCAUUGAUUGACUCCAUCCUAGACUUGACUAGGAGACCUUACACCCCUCUUACCUUUUUAAGCCAACUUGCACAAGUGGGUGACAAGGAUAGCUAGGCCUUUGCUUUAUUUUGAAAUUUAGGGAACAUGUAUGACACACUCCCUCUCCCCCCAUCACAUAACCGGCCACCCUAUUGAUGGGUCCUCUAUGGGCUAUUUUGCAAUUUUAAAAGUUGAUUAUACUUUCUAGUAUUUGCGGUAUGACCCCUAACUUUUCAUAAUUGCAUUUCGGCCCAACCUCUUUAUGAGAUUAAAAUAUUAUGAUUUUAAUUUUGUUUGUAGCUUAAACUCAUCAUAUAAUUAUGCCCAUAUGUACUAAGUCUAAUUGAUUAUGUUGCAUUCCAAUUUAAUUAUUUAAUGUGAUUAAGUAGUUAGUAAAAUGGUUGACUAUGGACUUGUGCCUUAAACGAUAAUUGAGCUAUGAGAAAGGCCGCUAAAUUCAAAUGGUUUGAACCUUGGGAAUGUGUUUUAAUUGCUAUUUGAAUUGGACCUCAACAUGUUAGACAUUAAUCUUUCUCUCCCUCUUAGUAUAUGUAAUUUGUAGGAAUUUGUACAAAUUGGUUUGUAAUUCUUAUUACUUCUUUAUCUCUUUCAAUUAGUUGAUUCCCUCUAGUACUAGACUAGAGUUUCUUU